AGCUCCAAUAGCGUAUAUUAAAGUUGUUGCAGUUAAAAAGCUCGUAGUUGAAACUUGGGCCUGGCUGGCCGGUCCGCCUCACCGCGUGUACUUGUCCGGCCGGGCCUUCCUUCUGGGGAACCUCAUGGCCUUCACUGGGUGUGUGGGGGACCAGGACUUUUACUUUGAAAAAAUUAGAGUGUUCAAAGCAGGCCUUUGCUCGAAUACAUUAGCAUGGAAUAAUAGAAUAGGACGUGCGGUUCUAUUU
Molecule: ribosomal RNA, 247 nt
Filed under: uncultured Dothideomycetes
Lineage: Eukaryota; Fungi; Ascomycota; Dothideomycetes
Description: partial small subunit ribosomal RNA
Rfam family: Eukaryotic small subunit ribosomal RNA
Source: RNAcentral